This is a small nucleolar RNA of Manis javanica (Malayan pangolin), 124 nucleotides long. RefSeq annotates it as small nucleolar RNA SNORD22. NCBI's taxonomy places the organism in Eukaryota, Metazoa, Chordata, Mammalia, Pholidota, Manidae. The record is from RefSeq and is a predicted model, not a curated record.
UCCCAGUGAAGAAAAAUUCACACAUCUUACCUCCUGUUCUAGCCCCACAGCCAGUAAAGGUAGACCCAUGGGGACUGCCUGGGAGAGGAGGAAAGUUUGUUCCAGAAGAAACUAUCUGAGGGAU